GAUGCUACCUGGUUGAUCCUGCCAGU
Molecule: ribosomal RNA, 26 nt
Filed under: Argyrolobium uniflorum
Lineage: Eukaryota; Viridiplantae; Streptophyta; Magnoliopsida; Fabales; Fabaceae
Description: partial 18S ribosomal RNA
Source: RNAcentral